This 513-nucleotide small RNA is filed under the name Pongo abelii (Sumatran orangutan). Its description in RNAcentral is "retained intron". Lineage: Eukaryota; Metazoa; Chordata; Mammalia; Primates; Hominidae. The record is from RNAcentral.
GGACUUUCUCUCCUGCCCUCACAAGGGAAAAAGACCUUGAUGAAGUUCUGCAGACCCACUCAGUGUUUGUAAAUGUUUCUAAAGGUCAGGUUGCCAAGAAGGAAGAUCUCAUCAGUGCGUUUGGAACAGAUGACCAAACUGAAAUCUAUUUUGACUAAAGGAGAAGUUCAAGUAUCAGAUAAAGAAAGACAUACACAACUGGAGCAGAUGUUUAGGGACAUUGCAACUAUUGUGGCAGACAAAUGUGUGAAUCCUGAAACAAAGAGACCAUACACCGUGAUCCUUAUCGAGAGAGCCAUGAAGGACAUCCACUAUUCGGUGAAAACCAACAAGAGUACAAAACAGCAGGCUUUGGAAGUGAUAAAGCAGUUAAAAGAGAAAAUGAAGAUAGAACGUGCUCACAUGAGGCUUCGGUUCAUCCUUCCAGUGAAUGAAGGCAAGAAGCUGAAAGAAAAGCUCAAGCCACUGAUCAAGGUCAUAGAAAGUGAAGAUUAUGGCCAACAGUUAGAAAUC